GCAUAACGUCGCAAGACCAAAGAGGGGGACCUUCGGGCCUCUUGCCAUCAGAUGUGCCCAGAUGGGGAUUAGCUAGUAGGUGGGGUAAUGGCUCACCUAGGCGACGAUCCCUAGCUGGUCUGAGAGGAUGACCAGCCACACUGGAACUGAGACACGGUCCAGACUCCUACGGGAGGCAGCAGUGGGGAAUAUUGCACAAUGGGCGCAAGCCUGAUGCAGCCAUGCCGCGUGUGUGAAGAAGGCCUUCGGGUUGUAAAGCACCUUCAGCGAGGAGGAAGGUGGUGAACUUAAUACGUUCAUCAAUUGACGUUACUCGCAGAAGAAGCACCGGCUAACUCCGUGCCAGCAGCCGCGGUAAUACGGAGGGUGCAAGCGUUAAUCGGAAUUACUGGGCGUAAAGCGCACGCAGGCGGUUUGUUAAGUCAGAUGUGAAAUCCCCGGGCUCAACCUGGGAACUGCAUUUGAAACUGGCAAGCUAGAGUCUCGUAGAGGGGGGUAGAAUUCCAGGUGUAGCGGUGAAAUGCGUAGAGAUCUGGAGGAAUACCGGUGGCGAAGGCGGCCCCCUGGACGAAGACUGACGCUCAGGUGCGAAAGCG
Molecule: ribosomal RNA, 596 nt
Filed under: uncultured Enterobacterales bacterium
Lineage: Bacteria; Pseudomonadati; Pseudomonadota; Gammaproteobacteria; Enterobacterales
Description: bacterial SSU rRNA
Rfam family: Bacterial small subunit ribosomal RNA
Source: RNAcentral